AGGGUUAUAAUACUCGUAUGUGCCUUCCCAAACAGGUGUCUUCCCCACCAUCAGUGUUAAUGUUCCAGAAAGCAAGCAAUCCAAUUUCAAACCCAAGUUCUGUUAACAAUUUUAAUGAUCAGGAGGAGCAAGGAGCUAGCAUUCGAAGUUGGUUUCACAAUCCUGAAACAUAUGGCGAAAAGCACACAUCUUCCUUGCAUAUUCUCAGAAGGGAUGAUCAGUGGGGCAUGGGUUCUUUUAGCAAGUCUUGUGGGCCCAUUCAACAUGGUAUUUCACCUCUUGUAGCUCAAUCAACAUUUAGGCGUGGUCAAGAUAUAGUGUCUUCAUGUAAAAGCAGCUGCAGACUAUUCGGUUUCCAGUUGACCGAGGAUAGGCACGUUGCUAAUAAGGAUGAUAAUAGCUCCAUUCCUGUGACAUCUCUGAAUCUUGGAUCUCCCUUUCUGCCUCACGGUGGAGAUCAGUUCCAUCUGAAGCCUCCAGCAAUAACCAAUGCAGUGGGGAGCAACUGUACCAAAGGAAUUCUGCAAAAGAAUCCUGAAAACUAUGAUAUAUACUAAAGGAUGUAGUAGUUGCACCUGAGGCUACAGAAGAGAAUAUGCCUGCAGUUGCAUGGAUAAAACACAAUUAUCUUCUUCUGAAAAGAAAAUGUAAUUAAUCUCCUGAGUUAACUCGGUCGUCUUCUAACUCCCUCGGCUAUGCAAAUGAGCUGUUUGUACUAAUGUAUUAGGUUCUCAUUGACAAGCCAUUUUAAAGAAUUGCCAGUCUGUUUUUGCUGUUUCAAUCCAACAUGGAAUUGUUAUAAUUAUUUUGUUGAUUAUUGAAUUGCUGAUAUGUUUUUUUUUUAACAGAAUAAUUCUGAAUUCAGCAUCAGCAGCAAACAAAACAUAUCAGCAAUUCAAUAAUGAAACUGAACCAACAAAAUAAUUAUAAC
RNAcentral lists this unclassified non-coding RNA (931 nucleotides) under Hevea brasiliensis (rubber tree). The record is from RNAcentral. Lineage: Eukaryota; Viridiplantae; Streptophyta; Magnoliopsida; Malpighiales; Euphorbiaceae.